GCGCUUAUGGUGGAAUUGGCAGACACGCUACUUUGAGGUGGUAGUGGCGAAAGCCGUGCAGGUUCAAGUCCUGCUAAGCGCACCA
This 85-nucleotide transfer RNA is filed under the name Verrucomicrobiota bacterium. RNAcentral's name for it is "Verrucomicrobia bacterium (mine drainage metagenome) tRNA-Leu". It matches the Rfam family "tRNA". Rfam says of the family: Transfer RNA (tRNA) molecules are approximately 80 nucleotides in length. Lineage: Bacteria; Pseudomonadati; Verrucomicrobiota. The record is from RNAcentral. RNAcentral also lists the same sequence under 3 other names.